UACAGAGGUCUCAAGCGUUGUUCGGAUUCAUUGGGCGUAAAGGGUGCGUAGGCGGCGCGGUAAGUCGGGUGUGAAAUCUCGGAGCUUAACUCCGAAACUGCAUUCGAUACUGCCGUGCUUGAGGACUGGAGAGGAGACUGGAAUUUACGGUGUAGCGGUGAAAUGCGUAGAGAUCUGGAGGAACACCGAUGGCGAAGGCAGCCUUCUGGGCCAACACUGACGCUCAUGCACGAAAGCGUGGGGAGCAAACAGG
RNAcentral lists this ribosomal RNA (253 nucleotides) under uncultured bacterium. RNAcentral describes it as "partial 16S ribosomal RNA". It matches the Rfam family "Bacterial small subunit ribosomal RNA", at positions 524 to 776 of the family's 1533-position model. The record is from RNAcentral.